AUUGAACGCUGGCGGCAGGCCUAACACAUGCAAGUCGAGCGGAUGAAGGGAGCUUGCUCCUGGAUUCAGCGGCGGACGGGUGAGUAAUGCCUAGGAAUCUGCCUGGUAGUGGGGGAUAACGUCCGGAAACGGGCGCUAAUACCGCAUACGUCCUGAGGGAGAAAGUGGGGGAUCUUCGGACCUCACGCUAUCAGAUGAGCCUAGGUCGGAUUAGCUAGUUGGUGGGGUAAAGGCCUACCAAGGCGACGAUCCGUAACUGGUCUGAGAGGAUGAUCAGUCACACUGGAACUGAGACACGGUCCAGACUCCUACGGGAGGCAGCAGUCGGGAAUAUUGGACAAUGGGCGAAAGCCUGAUCCAGCCAUGCCGCGUGUGUGAAGAAGGUCUUCGGAUUGUAAAGCACUUUAAGUUGGGAGGAAGGGCAGUAAGUUAAUACCUAGCUGUUUUGACGUUACCAACAGAAUAAGCACCGGCUAACUUCGUG
RNAcentral lists this ribosomal RNA (484 nucleotides) under uncultured bacterium. RNAcentral describes it as "partial 16S ribosomal RNA". It matches the Rfam family "Bacterial small subunit ribosomal RNA", at positions 30 to 507 of the family's 1533-position model. The record is from RNAcentral.